UGGGACUGGUCAAGGUCCCAAGAAAAUUAAGUGGGACAGAAAACUUAUGGUCUCCAGGAAGAUUCCAUGCCCUAACCCCCAGGACUACAAAUAUGAUGAGGUCACCAUCCAGUUGAAAUCCAGCAGUGGACUUUAUCUGCAAUGUGAUUUAUGGGCCAGGCUCCAUUCUCUGGGGAUUCAGCAUUUUCUGGGUCGUGGACUCACUGCAUCUGGCCAGUGCUUGAGGAAACAGACAUUGUGGGAACAAUGCAGGCAAUUUUUGGGGUCAAGCCUGGAAGUGGUGAGCAUUCCAUUGGUGAUAGGCACCUUCUCACCUACCUAGAUGCAAAGGGGUUGGGAAGUAUAAUCUAGCUGUACGAUACUUAAUCUAUCAAAUGAAAGCAUAUUUGUAAGCAAUGAACUCAUUUU
Non-coding RNA from Microcebus murinus (gray mouse lemur), 408 nucleotides. The record is from RefSeq and is a predicted model, not a curated record. Lineage: Eukaryota; Metazoa; Chordata; Mammalia; Primates; Cheirogaleidae.